CAAGGAUUUAAAUUACCCUCCUGUUAGAGGAAAAACUUAUUUCCUUUAGGGGUCUAAGUUAAAACAUGAUCCCUCCAAUGGGACAAAAAUAUGAAUGCCAUGAUACUGCCUUGGUCGUUAACCAAGGGCAGGGGGAGGGGAAACAGGAGAGUUGUUGUUAAAUUAGCAUAAUUUCAGAUCUGCAACAUGAGAAAGCUUUGGAGAUCCAUUUCACAACAAUGUGAAUAUACUUAACACUAUGAACUGUACACUUUAAAAUGGUUAAGAUGGUGAGUUUUAUUUUAUGUGUGUUUUUACCACAAUAGAAAAGACAUAUAUUUGGGGGAAAAAAAGUGAGCUCUAUGAUUAUAUGUUAUAAAUUAUAGCUCUGUAUUUAAUUGAGAAUCACCUCUGGCCUGUAGUCUAAAUAAGAUGGUUUCCAUUCAUCAUACAGAUUUAUAUAUAAAUUUAUAUAUUUAUAUAUCAUUAUAUAUAUGACAUAUAUAAGAAGUUCCUUAUUCUAUAAUUUUUAACUAAUUCCAGCAGGCUUUAUAAAAUAUUUUGUACAUAUAUACAUAUAUAGAAUAACUUUGAGCUAUUCUUACAUAAGUUGGUUACUGUCUUAGUUAAGUGGAAAAUCAGACACAGACUUGAGUGUAAGGAACUUUUACUUUUUCUACAAGUGAAGUUGUAAAGGAACACAUUAGCCUAUUAAUUUCACCAAAUAAUUAGAAUGACAUUAAAGAGAUCAUGCCACUGAAUAUGUAGGUACAGUUCUAAACUGGGUUAAGAUCUAGCAACAGCGUUCUGACUCAUGACCAUCUUGUCUCAUUUUCUCCACAUCCCCUCAAAAGGCAGUUUUUCCUUACCCUUCCCUGUGGAGUUGGACAUGCCUUGACUGUUCAUCUUUACCAUUUUUCCAGAUGACAAAGUUAUGGGAGAUUCACAGAGCUUUGAGAUUGAAAAUUGCCUAGCCAACAAGUACAAGUAUCAGUUGUGCCUGGAGGAUAAGACUGAGCUAAUGAAUAAACCUUUUCAACACUGAAGCGCAGAAGAGAAAGGAGGUUCCGGCUUGAC
This 1056-nucleotide long non-coding RNA is filed under the name Neogale vison (American mink). RNAcentral describes it as "Neovison vison (American mink) lncRNA (ENSNVIG00000003662.1)". Lineage: Eukaryota; Metazoa; Chordata; Mammalia; Carnivora; Mustelidae. The record is from RNAcentral.